UACACUCCUACGGGAGGCAGCAGUGGGGAAUUUUGGACAAUGGGCGAAAGCCUGAUCCAGCAAUGCCGCGUGAGUGAAGAAGGCCUUCGGGUUGUAAAGCUCUUUUGUCAGGGAAGAAACGGUGAAAGCUAAUAUCUUUUGUUAAUGACGGUACCUGAAGAAUAAGCACCGGCUAACUACGUGCCAGCAGCCGCGGUAAUACGUAGGGUGCAAGCGUUAAUCGGAAUUACUGGGCGUAAAGCGUGCGCAGGCGGUUUUGUAAGUCUGAUGUGAAAUCCCCGGGCUCAACCUGGGAAUUGCAUUGGAGACUGCAAGGCUAGAAUCUGGCAGAGGGGGGUAGAAUUCCACGUGUAGCAGUGAAAUGCGUAGAUAUGUGGAGGAACACCGAUGGCGAAGGCAGCCCCCUGGGUCAAGAUUGACGCUCAUGCACGAAAGCGUGGGGAGCAAACAGGAUUAGAAACCCGAGUAGUCCC
RNAcentral lists this ribosomal RNA (473 nucleotides) under uncultured organism. RNAcentral describes it as "partial 16S ribosomal RNA". It matches the Rfam family "Bacterial small subunit ribosomal RNA", at positions 332 to 797 of the family's 1533-position model. The record is from RNAcentral.